This 640-nucleotide unclassified non-coding RNA is filed under the name Phormidium sp. SCSIO X. Its description in RNAcentral is "partial 16S-23S ribosomal RNA intergenic spacer". The stretch from base 1 to 171 matches the Rfam family "Bacterial small subunit ribosomal RNA", at positions 1365 to 1533 of the family's 1533-position model. The record is from RNAcentral. Lineage: Bacteria; Bacillati; Cyanobacteriota; Cyanophyceae; Oscillatoriales; Oscillatoriaceae.
AAUACGUUCCCGGGCCUUGUACACACCGCCCGUCACACCAUGGGAGUUGGCCACGCCCGAAGCCGUUACCCUAACCUUUCGAGGAGGGGGGCGUCGAAGGUGGGGCUGAUGACUGGGGUGAAGUCGUAACAAGGUAGCCGUACCGGAAGGUGUGGCUGGAUCACCUCCUUUUAGGGAGACCUAUCUACCUAACGUCAGUAUAUUGUUUUGCUGAGUUAGCGUAGGUCAUCUUUAGGUCGUUAGGGACUUAUUUAGGUGGGCUUUCAAUAUUGUCGAGUUUUUAUGGGCUAUUAGCUCAGGUGGUUAGAGCGCACCCCUGAUAAGGGUGAGGUCCCUGGUUCGAGUCCAGGAUGGCCCACUGAGUGGGGGUAUAGCUCAGCUGGUAGAGCGCCUGCUUUGCAAGCAGGAUGUCAGCGGUUCGAGUCCGCUUACCUCCACCAUUUAAGGACAUGUUUUAUUUUAAGGACAUGUUUAGGGAUUUAGAUAACAGCACCGUACUCACUGUUUAGUGAAGUAAGCUGCUGGGCUCUAAGUCUAGCGAGAGACCCUUGACAACUGCAUAGAGAAAAUUGAGUCAAAAGGUAGUUAAAGACAAAACUAUUCGCAAAGGAUAGAGAGAAGGUCAAGCACAAGUCAUUCG